Molecule: long non-coding RNA, 2389 nt
Organism: Pan troglodytes (chimpanzee)
Lineage: Eukaryota; Metazoa; Chordata; Mammalia; Primates; Hominidae
Exons: 4
Source: RefSeq, a predicted model, not a curated record
AGACAGGGUCAUAUUCUGUCACCCAGGCUGGAGUUCAGUGGCACAAUCACAGCUCACUGCAUCCUCUGCCUCCGGGACUCAGAGCCGAUCUUUCACCGUGUUGGCCCUGCUGGUCUCCGAUUCCUGGCCUCAAGUGAUCCACCUGCCUCAGCCUCCCAAAGUGCUAGGAUGACAGGUAUGCACACGCGCACCUCCCGGGCAGGCAGUGGACGCUGAGCAAACGGACGGACGGGCUGGAGGGCUGGCAGUGGGGUGCAGAAGCCAGCCAUGAGAACCCCUCAAGUACAGAUGUAAACCCCUCCCAACACUGGAAGAGGAAACAGAGACCAGUGCGCUGUGCAGUCUCACUUAACUAGAAUGCACAACUCCUGCUUUUAUCACCAUUCUGGGAAAUCCCCGCUGCAUUUCAUGGCCAGGGCAGCACUUCAUAGUUGGAAAAGGAUGGUGUGGACUUGCCGCAGAGGCCCUAGAGAAGGCCCUCCUGUGUUCCUGCUCUCCUUCUCAUCCGGCUUCUACCCCCACCCCACCCCCCAACAAAAACGCUACAGGUUAUAAGAUCUACAUUCUGAACCUGCCUUUCAGGGGCUAGGUGUGUUGUGUGUUGCACAGCUCUAGGGGUAGCAUAGCCUUGAUCAUCGGGGUGGAGGUGUCUAUUUACUAUGAUAUGAUGCAGCAGAUGGCAGUGAAGUGUCUUGAGGAAGAGGUGUUUUUAUCAUUUGAAGGUUAUGGGGUGUAAUAAUAAAGACUGCAAUUCACAGACCUUGAGCCUAGCAGGCCAAUGCCAAGGGCAGAACUGUAGGCCCCCACAGCACAGUUCCACAGAGGAAGGGGGCUGGUUAGUAAGGGGAAAGAAGGAUAGAAGACUGCAGUAAAUGUAAACAGCCGUAUUUUCAACAUAAUUUACUACAGGUCUCUGAAGUGUAUAUAAAAUGUUUUAGUGCAACAUCUUACAAAUAGUUUUCCUUUAAAAAACAGAAACAAAUCAACAGCUCUCUACAUCAUGCAUGGGUAGUUUUCUUACCCCAUCUUUUUUUUUCCUCAAUAAUUAACGCAGAGAAACCAUUGUUUGAAAAGAAUAUGAAAACUUGCUACAGAAACACCCGGUGAAAGAGGGUGUGGUCAUAUUCAUGUCCUAGAAUGCGCCUAGCACAGUGUAGUUUUUCAUAAAUGCAACAUUGUAGACAUAGAUGAAUCCAGAGUAUUCAGCAGUUUUCCUCCGUCUCAGAAGACUAAAGCUCCAGUAGACAAUGCGCAAUGAGGUCUCACAGCCACUGGAGGGCACCAUUACCAUCCAUCUGACAUCGCAUUUCCAUAGAAAUGGCCAAAGAAAGAAGGUCCUGGGGUUUUUCAUAGAAAGCUCAAAAAGUUCAACCUUUGAUGCUAUCCCCCAGCCCAAUACAAAAUACACAGAAAAAGCAAUUAUUAAAAUACUGGCUUCGGUUUCUUUUUUUCCUUUCAAAUUUCCUGCAAUUGCUUUACAUAUUUGUGUGCAGCACCUACUUCUUCAUCGCUGUGAACUGAAAUCUAAGAUUUCAAACUGAAAUCUUAGUUACACAUCCUAGUCCCAGCCAGCCCUCUGGCAACCUCCCAUUUAGACAGAGGAAACGCCAGUCAUCUUCCCUCAUUGACUCAGCCUAUAAAGUAGGAGUCAGCAAAUUCCCACUGAAAGCCCACAUCCCUGAAAUAAAGAAAUGGGGCAAAAGACCUUCUUUCUUCAUGACUGAGCCGUUCCUGUACCUCUAAUGUGUUGAUGCAGCAUAAUAAAUGAGAAUCAGCAUGUCAGGCAACAGCAGGAUUAAGGUGGUGGUGCCUGCACACUGUCUCACAGGAGGGUACGGUAUAUUUGGGGGAGAAAAGGCAGGUCUGUGUGUCUGUCAGAAAAUGGCUGAGCAAUCGCCGCCAUGCUCCCCUCAGCUGGGAAUCAGCAAAGUUAUCUGCCAAGCAGCCCAGGCCACCUGCACACCUGCAGACCCUUGAAGGAUCAGCACAGACAUUGGCCUGGGGAAUCCCACGGCCUCCCCUGCAGUCUGCUCGGUCUCAGAACAGGGCUUCACUGGAAUCUCUUAUCAGACUUAGUUCCAGAAUCCCUGAUGACUUUUUCCAAAUUGUGACCCCCUCUUGGGAUUCAGGAUGCAAGUUCCCAGAGUAAAGGAGAUGGCAUGCUUGGCCAGAAAAAUAUGGGAAAGCAAGGGUAUAAGAACAUCUUCAUAAAGAGAGCAAAAGGAAAUAUUUGUAACUGAUGAUGCCCUAAGAAGGACAAGCAUCUAGCCCAACAGUGUAAAAGAACAGGGUGACACCAGCCAUCAUGGGGCUCAAGGGGCCUUAAAAUAAAAAGCCACCAUAACAAUGAACAACCAAACAACCUAGAACCACAAGAGAGAUCAAGAAA